GACGAACGCUGGCGGCGUGCCUAAUACAUGCAAGUCGAGCGAGCAGAACCAGCAGAUUUACUUCGGUAAUGACGCUGGGGACGCGAGCGGCGGAUGGGUGAGUAACACGUGGGGAACCUGCCCCAUAGUCUAGGAUACCACUUGGAAACAGGUGCUAAUACCGGAUAAUAAAGCAGAUCGCAUGAUCAGCUUAUAAAAGGCGGCGUAAGCUGUCGCUAUGGGAUGGCCCCGCGGUGCAUUAGCUAGUUGGUAAGGUAACGGCUUACCAAGGCAAUGAUGCAUAGCCGAGUUGAGAGACUGAACGGCCACAUUGGGACUGAGACACGGCCCAAACUCCUACGGGAGGCAGCAGUAGGGAAUCUUCCACAAUGGACGCAAGUCUGAUGGAGCAACGCCGCGUGAGUGAAGAAGGUUUUCGGAUCGUAAAGCUCUGUUGUUGGUGAAGAAGGAUAGAGGUAGUAACUGGCCUUUAUUUGACGGUAAUCAACCAGAAAGUCACGGCUAACUACGUGCCAGCAGCCGCGGUAAUACGUAGGUGGCAAGCGUUGUCCGGAUUUAUUGGGCGUAAAGCGAGCGCAGGCGGAAGAAUAAGUCUGAUGUGAAAGCCCUCGGCUUAACCGAGGAAUUGCAUCGGAAACUGUUUUUCUUGAGUGCAGAAGAGGAGAGUGGAACUCCAUGUGUAGCGGUGGAAUGCGUAGAUAUAUGGAAGAACACCAGUGGCGAAGGCGGCUCUCUGGUCUGCAACUGACGCUGAGGCUCGAAAGCAUGGGUAGCGAACAGGAUUAGAUACCCUGGUAGUCCAUGCCGUAAACGAUGAGUGCUAAGUGUUGGGAGGUUUCCGCCUCUCAGUGCUGCAGCUAACGCAUUAAGCACUCCGCCUGGGGAGUACGACCGCAAGGUUGAAACUCAAAGGAAUUGACGGGGGCCCGCACAAGCGGUGGAGCAUGUGGUUUAAUUCGAAGCAACGCGAAGAACCUUACCAGGUCUUGACAUCUAGUGCCAUCCUAAGAGAUUAGGAGUUCCCUUCGGGGACGCUAAGACAGGUGGUGCAUGGCUGUCGUCAGCUCGUGUCGUGAGAUGUUGGGUUAAGUCCCGCAACGAGCGCAACCCUUAUUAUUAGUUGCCAGCAUUAAGUUGGGCACUCUAAUGAGACUGCCGGUGACAAACCGGAGGAAGGUGGGGAUGACGUCAAGUCAUCAUGCCCCUUAUGACCUGGGCUACACACGUGCUACAAUGGGCAGUACAACGAGAAGCGAGCCUGCGAAGGCAAGCGAAUCUCUGAAAGCUGUUCUCAGUUCGGACUGCAGUCUGCAACUCGACUGCACGAAGCUGGAAUCGCUAGUAAUCGCGGAUCAGAACGCCGCGGUGAAUACGUUCCCGGGCCUUGUACACACCGCCCGUCACACCAUGGAAGUCUGCAAUGCCCAAAGCCGGUGGCCUAACCUUCGGGAAGGAGCCGUCUAAGGCAGGG
Molecule: ribosomal RNA, 1471 nt
Filed under: Lactobacillus helveticus
Lineage: Bacteria; Bacillati; Bacillota; Bacilli; Lactobacillales; Lactobacillaceae
Description: bacterial SSU rRNA
Rfam family: Bacterial small subunit ribosomal RNA
Source: RNAcentral